This 254-nucleotide ribosomal RNA is filed under the name uncultured bacterium. RNAcentral describes it as "partial 16S ribosomal RNA". It matches the Rfam family "Bacterial small subunit ribosomal RNA", at positions 524 to 776 of the family's 1533-position model. The record is from RNAcentral.
UACGGAGAUGGCAAGCGUUGUUCGGAAUUACUGGGCGUAAAGGGCGCGUAGGCGGGGAGGUAAGUCGGGUGUGAAAUCCCUCGGCUCAACCGAGGAACGGCGCUCGAAACUGCUUCUCUUGAGUCCCGGAGAGGAAGGUGGAAUUCCGGGUGUAGCGGUGGAAUGCGUAGAUAUCAGGAGGAACACCGGUGGCGAAGGCGGUUCUCUGGGAAUGUUCUGACGGCUGAGGAGCGAAAGUGUGGGGAGCGAACAGG